GAUAAUCGGAGCCUUUGCUGUUGUUUGAUGCUUCGAUCUUCACUUAGCGGAUGUUUUGGGUGAUUUUCCGACAUCUCUGACCCUAUUCCGGUAAGUUUACAGUACGGUUUCCGGUGGUUGGACCUAGGGUUUUAUCUGGCGAUUGAAGGCCGUUCUUCUCCGGUCGCGAAGAAGGAGGGUAACUCUAUCCCUGUUCUAAGUGUUUAGGGUUUUAUCUGGCGAUUGAAGGCCGUUCUUCUCCGGUCGCGAAGAAGGAGGGUAACUCUAUCCUUGUUCUAAGUGUUGUAUGUUUUUCAUGUGGGUUCUGAGACUGUUUUUUUUAUUUCAAACUGAUUAUUGUUCAUGGCUUCUAAUAUGAAUACUAGUACCUCCUCGGUGGACUCUACCAGCCCCCUUUUUGUUUACUCCUUUGAUGUUCCUGGAGUCUCUCUUGUGUCCACUCCCUUCUCGGGCAGUGGUUAUGGGGGUUGGAGNNNN
RNAcentral lists this long non-coding RNA (477 nucleotides) under Nicotiana benthamiana. Its description in RNAcentral is "long non-coding RNA (NBEN_LNC034246)". The record is from RNAcentral. Lineage: Eukaryota; Viridiplantae; Streptophyta; Magnoliopsida; Solanales; Solanaceae.